UAUUUCAUCAGUUCUUCAAAAGAAAUAACAUGAACAAGUCAGCACUUCUACUUUUGCUUCUCAUCGGACUUCUCGUCCUCACUGAAACUACUAGUGCGUUUUUUUGGUCUCGUCGUCGUACUCGUCGUCGCGGUUAUAACCAACAGAAAAUGCCACAAAUGAACGAAAUUUCAGACAUGCUAUCUGAAGAGUUUUUAACCUCGUCUCAACUUGCACAAGAGUAAUUACCCAAACGUGUAUAAGCUGCACACAACACACUCGUACAAUUUUAAUAAAUUAAACACCAGCAAAACAUA
This is a non-coding RNA of Ciona intestinalis (vase tunicate), 296 nucleotides long. Lineage: Eukaryota; Metazoa; Chordata; Ascidiacea; Phlebobranchia; Cionidae. The record is from RefSeq and is a predicted model, not a curated record.